RNAcentral lists this ribosomal RNA (600 nucleotides) under Curvularia lunata. RNAcentral describes it as "eukaryotic LSU rRNA". It matches the Rfam family "Eukaryotic large subunit ribosomal RNA", at positions 40 to 655 of the family's 3401-position model. Lineage: Eukaryota; Fungi; Ascomycota; Dothideomycetes; Pleosporales; Pleosporaceae. The record is from RNAcentral.
AUAUCAAUAAGCGGAGGAAAAGAAACCAACAGGGAUUGCCCUAGUAACGGCGAGUGAAGCGGCAACAGCUCAAAUUUGAAAUCUGGCUCUUUCAGAGUCCGAGUUGUAAUUUGCAGAGGGCGCUUUGGCUUUGGCAGCGGUCCAAGUUCCUUGGAACAGGACGUCACAGAGGGUGAGAAUCCCGUACGUGGUCGCUAGCUAUUGCCGUGUAAAGCCCCUUCGACGAGUCGAGUUGUUUGGGAAUGCAGCUCUAAAUGGGAGGUAAAUUUCUUCUAAAGCUAAAUAUUGGCCAGAGACCGAUAGCGCACAAGUAGAGUGAUCGAAAGAUGAAAAGCACUUUGGAAAGAGAGUCAAACAGCACGUGAAAUUGUUGAAAGGGAAGCGCUUGCAGCCAGACUUGCUUGCAGUUGCUCAUCCGGGCUUUUGCCCGGUGCACUCUUCUGUAGGCAGGCCAGCAUCAGUUUGGGCGGUGGGAUAAAGGUCUCUGACACGUUCCUUCCUUCGGGUUGGCCAUAUAGGGGAGACGACAUACCACCAGCCUGGACUGAGGUCCGCGCAUCUGCUAGGAUGCUGGCGUAAUGGCUGUAAGCGGCCCGUCUU